Molecule: long non-coding RNA, 329 nt
Organism: Sphaerodactylus townsendi
Lineage: Eukaryota; Metazoa; Chordata; Lepidosauria; Squamata; Sphaerodactylidae
Exons: 3
Source: RefSeq, a predicted model, not a curated record
GUAAAAUUUAUAUAAGUGAAGCUCUAACAGUUAUACUUUCCGUAUUUUGAUAGUAGGUUAAUUUGUAAACAAGGAAGAGAAGCCUUAUCUAACUAUUCGGCGAACAUACUCCCCAUGGUGGGAGAUUUAGACAAGAAAAUUUACAAAGGACGCCGUAAGAUUGUAACAAGAAAGUAUGUACAACUUUAUAUAUAGCAAGUUUUUUUUAUGUAUAAUGCAAGAUAUCUAUUAUUGUAUUAUAUUUUAAUUUACUAAUAAACUUUUUUUUAAAAAAAAGAGAACUUUUGGAUUCUUUUAAACAAUGCAAGGGAUUUCUAUGCAAAUCAGCA